Molecule: long non-coding RNA, 209 nt
Filed under: Elaeis guineensis (African oil palm)
Lineage: Eukaryota; Viridiplantae; Streptophyta; Magnoliopsida; Arecales; Arecaceae
Description: long non-coding RNA (EGUI_LNC000273)
Source: RNAcentral
AUAAGCGUAGGUAAAUGACUUAAAAAGCAAUAGCUUUUGUAAUUUUUUCUGAAGCGUUACAAUUCAAUGGAGUACAAAUUUUUGCCAAACUUUGCAAUAGAAAUCCAAUAAGUGAAUGAAUGAAAUAGAGAAUGCUUUAAAAUGUGUAGGUGGAAAGUGCCCACAUGUGCUACACGUAUGCAUGCCUAACUUGCUUAAGCUGUCCCCGA